RNAcentral lists this long non-coding RNA (1252 nucleotides) under Sus scrofa (pig). Its description in RNAcentral is "lncRNA (ENSSSCG00015047544.1)". The record is from RNAcentral. Lineage: Eukaryota; Metazoa; Chordata; Mammalia; Artiodactyla; Suidae.
GUAGCAAGGACGUCCUGGGGGCCGUGGUCCUCCGUCGAGGACAGUUUUGCUCCUCAGGAACAUCUGGAGAUGCUGGAGACGGCUUUGUUGUGACUGCGGGCACAUCCACCAGCAUCUAGUGGGCGGAGGCCCGAGUCGCUGCUCUCCCGCAGCGCCAAGCGCAGCCACCCCCGAGUCUAGGGGGUUGGACCCCUCAGCCCUCGGUCGUCGCCGUGUUCACAUGGAUGUUAUGCAAGCCACUGAGAGACAGUUGACAAUCCUCCGCAGAGAAGAAAAAGAAAGCAACACGACCACACGCACCGCAGCUCAGAGCUUCAAAGACCACAUUUAAGGUGCGCUUCAAACAGCCCUGUGCAGCAUGGGCUGGUCCCGGACCCCAGCCUGUGUAAACAGUUAUAUUUACUAGCAUGAAACCUAAAAUAGAAAUCCUGCAGCAAGCUUUUCUCUCCUUAAAGGUGUCUCUUUGAUACCUGAGUGGGUACCCACGAAGGGGCCCAGGUCCAUUGUUAAGGCCGUCAGCAGUGGCUGGUGGGGACAGUGGCUGGUGGGUACGCUUUCUCUUUCGCAUUUUAUGGGGAGCGUCAAAGGCCAGCAGAUUCAUAGCCUGGUGACGUCUUUGAUAGAAACACUCCUAUUUUUUCUCUUUGGCUGUAGCUGGUGUCCGCAGGUUGAUGUCUGGUAUCAGAAGAGCCUCGAACAGGUGGCUGAGGGAAUCUGUGGGCUCGCUGUUUUACGGAAUGUUUAAAAUGGUCACAAAAUGAACUUUUCUGAACCCCUUUCGGGGUCCUUAGAUGUUUCUGCCCUAAGGAGGGUUUUUCCGCUUUGUUGUUGUUGGUUUUUUUUUUUUUCUCAAUCUAGAUUAAAAAUAGUCUAAUAGUCCAGGUAGAUGGUGCUUUUUAUUUAUUUGUUUCCCAUCAAACUCUCUCUCUCUGAAGUGCACACAGAUGUUUCUUUGGUUUGUCUGUGUGUGGGAGGGAGAGACACACAGACACAGGCUAACAGCCACACGAAAGGCAAAGACAGAGCCUCUAGCCUGCCUGAACCGUCUUUCUCCGUGAAAUUGAGAGGACAGAGGUCCUUCUCGAAGCAAAUGAUGGUGGUGAUGGAGGUGAGAAGGGAGCGCAGGGAGAAAGACCAAGCAUUAGGUAGCGAGCAAGGCUCAGGGGAAGAGAGCCGUGAAACGGCAGGAAGACAGGCCCGAUCCUCAGUUGAAGGCACUGCUCUCACCAUCCUGGAAUCUAAUACCUUCUGA